Molecule: ribosomal RNA, 119 nt
Filed under: Poecilia mexicana
Lineage: Eukaryota; Metazoa; Chordata; Actinopteri; Cyprinodontiformes; Poeciliidae
Source: RNAcentral
GCUUACGGCCAUACCACCCUGAACACGCCCGAUCUCGUCUGAUCUCGGAAGCUAAGCAGGGUCGGGCCUGGUCAGUACUUUGAUGGGAGACCGCCUGGGAAUACCAGGUGCUGUAAGCU